GAAUAACCAUGGCGUGGUUGUUGCUGGCUUUUCGGAGCACUGUGCACACCCGUCAUUCUUAUCUUUCCACCUGUGCACUAAACGUAGGCCUGGAUAACUCUCGCUUGUAACAAGGCGGAUUGCAAGGAUUGCUGUGCUGCAAGGUCCAGCUCUCUUUGAAUUUCCAGGUCUAUGUACCUUUACAAACCCCAAUUGUAUAAUGAAGAAUGUAGUCAAUGGGCUUCAAUGCCUAUAAAACAAAUACAACUUUCAGCAACGGAUCUCUUGGCUCU
This 272-nucleotide unclassified non-coding RNA is filed under the name rhizosphere metagenome. RNAcentral's name for it is "partial ribosomal RNA internal transcribed spacer region". The record is from RNAcentral.